AAUCGUUGGUGGCGUAACUUCCCAAAUUGGGCGGAAAACGCACAUGCAUAAAUUGAUAUGCCUCAGUGCCGAACCCGCCUCUAUCUGCGGGUUUUUUUAU
Providencia burhodogranariea DSM 19968 is the source of this 100-nucleotide non-coding RNA. Lineage: Bacteria; Pseudomonadati; Pseudomonadota; Gammaproteobacteria; Enterobacterales; Morganellaceae. The record is from Rfam.